RNAcentral lists this long non-coding RNA (701 nucleotides) under Homo sapiens (human). RNAcentral describes it as "HSALNT0342506". Lineage: Eukaryota; Metazoa; Chordata; Mammalia; Primates; Hominidae. The record is from RNAcentral.
CAAAAAGCAAAGAAUGAAGAACCAUACUACUCCAUACUGGCAUUUGGUUCAGCCACAACACAAUACCAGUGUAUUAGUCAGAGUUUUCCAGAGAACCAAUAGGAUAUCUCAUCUGUAUCUAAUCUAGACCAUCAAGCUUCAGAUGAUCAUGUGACAAAGGUUCCAGUCAGUUCCAGGUGAAGACACCACCCCUGGUCAUUAAGGAGCUACCCUGUCUCCAUUAGACAGAGCAGGACAAGAGUUCUGUGAUCCACAAUGGGUAGGGACUACACCCUGAGCCAGCAUGAAGCAGUUACAGAAGAAAGACCGUCAGUCCCUCUGCCUCCCAUAAAGAUUUAUGGGGAUCACAUCUUUUGGGGGGAAAUAAGACAGGAGAAUAGGGCCUGGAGGCAGGGAACCUAAGGACUUAUUAGAACUAAAUCAAAGGAAAACACUUCAGUGAUGACAGGAAAUAUCCUCUUCAUUUACAUAGGGCAUACACCUAGUAAAUGACUUUGUAACUUGAAUUCAUCCUCUUCAUUUACAUAGGGUUUACACCAAGUAACCAGUGAAAAUCUCUAGAGGGUAUUUAAGCCCCAGAAAAUUCUGUAAUCGCACUGUUGAGACCCUAUGCUUGCUCCUGCUCCCACCCUGUGGAGUGUACUUUCAUUUUAAAAAAAUCUCUGCUUUUGUUGCUUCAUUGUUUCCUUGCUUUGUUUGUG